UGAGGUUCUUUUCCAACCACCUCAAGAACAACUACAUGUUGCUUUGCAUUCAAAUUGAAUUUGUGCCUAUGCAUGAACAUCGACAUCUCAGAGCUCUUGAUUUAUCAAAAUUAUCUUUUAAUCUUUCCCUUUUCUCAUCCAUCCUCCAUAGACGAUAUUCGGGUCUAUCAAGCCCAAGAACCACUGCGACGUGAUUUUAGCAUUUCAUGUGAGUCCAUUUGAAUAUUCUUUUCUCCUCUGGCUCGAUAUGUCAAUAAAAAUACAUGCAUGGACCUGUAGUUUGGAAAUUUCAAAAUUUUCAAUUUGACUUUCGAAAUGUUUCAACUGCGUGUUUUAUUUCAUGAGUGACUUCAUUUUGUGAAUAUAAUUUUAGAUACUUCGUUAUGUAACACGAGUCAUAUCGUCGGAACAAUUGCAUCAUAUAAAAAUAACUUUCUUUACGUCAUUAUUGUAACCUUUUAUUCCUUACAUUUUUCUUAGAGUUACAUUUCUAAGACAUACCAGAUGUUUGAGAAAAUGUCAAAAUAAGAAAGUAUUUGAGUAUCUAACUUCUCUUAUAUAAUUUACAGUAAAAUAGGAAAGCUUUUAACAUUUGAGAAUAUGAUAAAUGAAGAAAACAUUCACAAAGCUAAAUGUUGUAAUUGAUCUUCAUUUUCCUUGAAAAGGUUUAAUUUCUUUCUGCCAAACAUCAGUCGAUUAAUUUGCAUUACUUUAAUUUGAUUGCAUGUUCUGAUUUCUGAUUAUUGCUUGUAAAUUAUGUACUAUGAUAAAUGGUUAUAGUUUGUCUAAAGCUUAACAUUCUGACAAAUUUCUAGCAAUGAGAAUAGUUAUAAAGAAAGCUCAAAAUUAAGCUUAAAGAAUCCUAGCUACAUAUAUAUUAUGUGCGACACAAAAUCGACAAAUAUACUUACCCUUCGAUAGUGAUUCUGCAUCAUCUUUGAAACUUAAACAUGGUACUUUCUAAACCGGGAGCAAAACAAAAAUAUGGAUGAUUAUGAGACAUUGAAGAGGUAGGAAUUUAGUUAUUUCUGAAUGUUACUUAUCCCUACUCCUUCCCAUUUGUCUUUCUAUCGUCUAACAAUCCUAUAUUGUGCUAUUUUUUUUUAAUAUCGGAGUUAAAAUAAUGUUUACCUUGCAGGUGCUAUAUAAUGCUGAUAGGUAGAGUUUUGUUAUUCCUUUACUUCCAAC
Molecule: long non-coding RNA, 1188 nt
Filed under: Solanum tuberosum (potato)
Lineage: Eukaryota; Viridiplantae; Streptophyta; Magnoliopsida; Solanales; Solanaceae
Description: long non-coding RNA (STUB_LNC004780)
Source: RNAcentral